AAGAUCGAAUGGGGAGAUUCAUCGUCAGCCGCUUUGGCUUCCGUGUGGUGCGCGAUGAUCGGGACCUCGGUUCCGUGUCACGCGUCCGCUGCGGUAUGUCCGAGGUGGUCGGCGUGCACUUCUCCCCUAGUAGGACGUCGCGACCCGUUGGGUGCCGGCCUACGGCCCGGUUGGUCGACUGGCGCGUCGCGUUCACGCGUGUACGCGUCAGACCACUGGAUGCCCGGCCUGCUGCCCGGCGGUAUAGAAUCAUCAUUGAACGGUAUUGGGCCGCAUUAAGUGCGUUCAGGCUCGUCGGCAGGCUCGCCUCGCCCGGAUUUACGGACCUAGCGCCGUUGCCGGGUGCUUGGCGCGGCCGUUAGUCGACGAUGUCCUCGGACUGGCUCUAUUUAUAUUCGAACGGAUAUACCGGUCGGCGACGCUACUGCUUUGGGUACUUUCAGGACCCGUCUUGAAACACGGACCAAGGAGUCUAACAUGUGCGCGAGUCAUUGGGACUUGUUUUAAGCCUAAAGGCGUAAUGAAAGUGAAGGUCGUCCUUAGCGUCGACCGAGGGAGGAUGGCUCGCGUCACGAUGCGAGUCCGCACUCCCGGGGCGUCUCGUGCUCAUUGCGAGCUGAGGCGCACCCAGAGCGUACACGUUGGGACCCGAAAGAUGGUGAACUAUGCCUGGUCAGGACGAAGUCAGGGGAAACCCUGAUGGAGGUCCGUAGCGAUUCUGACGUGCAAAUCGAUCGUCGAAC
This 743-nucleotide ribosomal RNA is filed under the name unidentified. RNAcentral describes it as "Coccophagus fumadus partial large subunit ribosomal RNA". The stretch from base 370 to 743 matches the Rfam family "Eukaryotic large subunit ribosomal RNA", at positions 1 to 911 of the family's 3401-position model. The record is from RNAcentral.